CACUGCUGUGGAGGGAUUUUGCCGAUGUAAUUAAGGGAAAGGAUCUUCAAAUAGGGAGACUAGCCUGGAUUAUACAGGUGGGUCCAAUCUAAUCACUUGAGCAUUGAGAAGCCGAGAAUUAUCUUCAGCUGGAUUCAAAGAGAUGUGGUGGAGGAGGACAGCAGGAUGAGGAGGCCAAAGGGGUAGUUAAAGAGAUGUGAAUCAAGAGAAGGGCUGGACCUCCCCCGAUAGCUUUGAAUGUGAAGGGAGGGGGCCUUCAGAAGCUGAGAAAGACUCCAGCUGACAACCCAAAAGGAAUUGGGGCUUCAGUUCUGCAACCACAUGGAACUGAAUUCAACCAACAACUUGAACGACUUUGGAAGCAGUCGUUUUUCCUAGAGUCUACUGCUAAGAACCCAGUGGCAACACCUUGAUUUCAGGCUUGUGAGACCUGGAGCAAUGAAGCCCACUGGACUGGUGAUCUACAGAAAAAGAAGAGAAGAACCCAUUUAAAGAGAAGAACCCAUUUAAAGAGAAGAAGGAAAAGUGUGUAUCAGGCAGAGACAACAGUCUGUGCAAAGGUUGGAAGUAGGAAAAAUCUCAAUGUGCCCUGAGAGCUGAAAGGAGCUCGCUGUGGUUGGGAACGCUGGUAUGGAGAGGCACCAGGAAUAGUCCAGGGUCUGUGUUCUGGCUUCAUUCCCACUUUUACAUGGGCUGAAUCUUCUAAGGAGCGUCGCAAUAGUUCUGAAAUGGUGAAGUCAUCUCCAGUGCUGACAGGACCAUGUAAAUUCUACACCCCCUUCCCAGUGACUGAUCAUGGCUGGGCUCAACCCCACUUCUGGGUUUGGAAUGAAUGCUGUCAGGAAAUGAGGCCUCAAGGGAACCACGAAAGUGAAGCUGUGAAAACCCUGAAUGCUGAAGAGUGUGGAGAAUCCCAGACGAUGAAGAACCAGAGAAUCUCGAAGCUCUGUCUACCUACACCUCUGACUCAUGUAUGUGCAGAACAGACUCAGAUUAAAAACACAACGUUGAGGUGAGCCUGGAACUGUUGCCCAAGGAACAGGGUUUGAAGUUCAGGUCUAGCUAGACUAAUUAGCUGUUGAAGGAAACAACACUCACUGGAGAAAACUGGCAGAAUUCUGAAUCUUCACCAAUUAACAUUAGUAACGUUGAAGAUAUGAUCGAAAA
Molecule: long non-coding RNA, 1167 nt
Filed under: Equus asinus (donkey)
Lineage: Eukaryota; Metazoa; Chordata; Mammalia; Perissodactyla; Equidae
Description: lncRNA (ENSEASG00005031206.1)
Source: RNAcentral